GUCGAACGGCAGCGCGGGGCAACCUGGCGGCGAGUGGCGAACGGGUGAGUAAUAUAUCGGAACGUACCCAGAAGUGGGGGAUAACGUAGCGAAAGUUACGCUAAUACCGCAUACGAUCUACGGAUGAAAGUGGGGGACCUUCGGGCCUCAUGCUUUUGGAGCGGCCGAUAUCUGAUUAGCUAGUUGGUGAGGUAAAGGCUCACCAAGGCGACGAUCAGUAGCUGGUCUGAGAGGACGACCAGCCACACUGGGACUGAGACACGGCCCAGACUCCUACGGGAGGCAGCAGUGGGGAAUUUUGGACAAUGGGCGCAAGCCUGAUCCAGCAAUGCCGCGUGAGUGAAGAAGGCCUUCGGGUUGUAAAGCUCUUUUGUCAGGGAAGAAACGGCUGAGGUUAAUACCUUCGGCUAAUGACGGUACCUGAAGAAUAAGCACCGGCUAACUACGUGCCAGCAGCCGCGGUAAUACGUAGGGUGCAAGCGUUAAUCGGAAUUACUGGGCGUAAAGCGUGCGCAGGCGGUUUUGUAAGUCUGUCGUGAAAGCCCCGGGCUCAACCUGGGAAUUGCGAUGGAGACUGCAAGGCUUGAAUCUGGCAGAGGGGGGUAGAAUUCCACGUGUAGCGGUGAAAAUGCGUAAAA
RNAcentral lists this ribosomal RNA (638 nucleotides) under Oxalobacteraceae bacterium EK-I61. RNAcentral describes it as "bacterial SSU rRNA". It matches the Rfam family "Bacterial small subunit ribosomal RNA", at positions 61 to 695 of the family's 1533-position model. Lineage: Bacteria; Pseudomonadati; Pseudomonadota; Betaproteobacteria; Burkholderiales; Oxalobacteraceae. The record is from RNAcentral.